RNAcentral lists this ribosomal RNA (2287 nucleotides) under Salmonella enterica subsp. diarizonae. Its description in RNAcentral is "partial 23S ribosomal RNA". It matches the Rfam family "Bacterial large subunit ribosomal RNA", at positions 678 to 2925 of the family's 2925-position model. Lineage: Bacteria; Pseudomonadati; Pseudomonadota; Gammaproteobacteria; Enterobacterales; Enterobacteriaceae. The record is from RNAcentral.
CGAGUCUUAACCGGGCGUUAAGUUGCAGGGUAUAGACCCGAAACCCGGUGAUCUAGCCAUGGGCAGGUUGAAGGUUGGGUAACACUAACUGGAGGACCGAACCGACUAAUGUUGAAAAAUUAGCGGAUGACCUGUGGCUGGGGGUGAAAGGCCAAUCAAACCGGGAGAUAGCUGGUUCUCCCCGAAAGCUAUUUAGGUAGCGCCUCGUGAACUCAUCUCCGGGGGUAGAGCACUGUUUCGGCUAGGGGGCCAUCCCGGCUUACCAACCCGAUGCAAACUGCGAAUACCGGAGAAUGUUAUCACGGGAGACACACGGCGGGUGCUAACGUCCGUCGUGAAGAGGGAAACAACCCAGACCGCCAGCUAAGGUCCCAAAGUCAUGGUUAAGUGGGAAACGAUGUGGGAAGGCCCAGACAGCCAGGAUGUUGGCUUAGAAGCAGCCAUCAUUUAAAGAAAGCGUAAUAGCUCACUGGUCGAGUCGGCCUGCGCGGAAGAUGUAACGGGGCUAAACCAUGCACCGAAGCUGCGGCAGCGACACUUUAGUGUUGUUGGGUAGGGGAGCGUUCUGUAAGCCGUUGAAGGUGUCCUGUGAGGGGUGCUGGAGGUAUCAGAAGUGCGAAUGCUGACAUAAGUAACGAUAAAGCGGGUGAAAAGCCCGCUCGCCGGAAGACCAAGGGUUCCUGUCCAACGUUAAUCGGGGCAGGGUGAGUCGACCCCUAAGGCGAGGCCGAAAGGCGUAGUCGAUGGGAAACGGGUUAAUAUUCCCGUACUUGGUGUUACUGCGAAGGGGGGACGGAGAAGGCUAUGUUGGCCGGGCGACGGUAGUCCCGGUUUAAGCGUGUAGGCUGGUUUUCCAGGCAAAUCCGGAAAAUCAAGGCUGAGGCGUGAUGACGAGGCACCACGGUGCUGAAGCAACAAAUGCCCUGCUUCCAGGAAAAGCCUCUAAGCAUCAGGUAACAUCAAAUCGUACCCCAAACCGACACAGGUGGUCAGGUAGAGAAUACCAAGGCGCUUGAGAGAACUCGGGUGAAGGAACUAGGCAAAAUGGUGCCGUAACUUCGGGAGAAGGCACGCUGACACGUAGGUGAAGUGAUUUACUCAUGGAGCUGAAGUCAGUCGAAGAUACCAGCUGGCUGCAACUGUUUAUUAAAAACACAGCACUGUGCAAACACGAAAGUGGACGUAUACGGUGUGACGCCUGCCCGGUGCCGGAAGGUUAAUUGAUGGGGUCAGCGCAAGCGAAGCUCCUGAUCGAAGCCCCGGUAAACGGCGGCCGUAACUAUAACGGUCCUAAGGUAGCGAAAUUCCUUGUCGGGUAAGUUCCGACCUGCACGAAUGGCGUAAUGAUGGCCAGGCUGUCUCCACCCGAGACUCAGUGAAAUUGAACUCGCUGUGAAGAUGCAGUGUACCCGCGGCAAGACGGAAAGACCCCGUGAACCUUUACUAUAGCUUGACACUGAACAUUGAGCCUUGAUGUGUAGGAUAGGUGGGAGGCUUUGAAGCGUGGACGCCAGUCUGCGUGGAGCCGACCUUGAAAUACCACCCUUUAAUGUUUGAUGUUCUAACGUGGACCCGUAAUCCGGGUUGCGGACAGUGUCUGGUGGGUAGUUUGACUGGGGCGGUCUCCUCCUAAAGAGUAACGGAGGAGCACGAAGGUUGGCUAAUCCUGGUCGGACAUCAGGAGGUUAGUGCAAUGGCAUAAGCCAGCUUGACUGCGAGCGUGACGGCGCGAGCAGGUGCGAAAGCAGGUCAUAGUGAUCCGGUGGUUCUGAAUGGAAGGGCCAUCGCUCAACGGAUAAAAGGUACUCCGGGGAUAACAGGCUGAUACCGCCCAAGAGUUCAUAUCGACGGCGGUGUUUGGCACCUCGAUGUCGGCUCAUCACAUCCUGGGGCUGAAGUAGGUCCCAAGGGUAUGGCUGUUCGCCAUUUAAAGUGGUACGCGAGCUGGGUUUAGAACGUCGUGAGACAGUUCGGUCCCUAUCUGCCGUGGGCGCUGGAAGACUGAGGGGGGCUGCUCCUAGUACGAGAGGACCGGAGUGGACGCAUCACUGGUGUUCGGGUUGUCAUGCCAAUGGCACUGCCCGGUAGCUAAAUGCGGAAAAGAUAAGUGCUGAAAGCAUCUAAGCACGAAACUUGCCCCGAGAUGAGUCUUCCCUGAGACCUUGAGUCUCCUGAAGGAACGUUAAAGACGAUGACGUUGAUAGGCCGGGUGUGUAAGCGCAGCGAUGCGUUGAGCUAACCGGUACUAAUGAACCGUGAGGCUUAACCUUACAACGCCGAAGCUGUU